CUGCUCGCGUUGCGUUGGGACCGCCGGGCUGCGGCUGCGGCUGCGGCUAGCAACUAGCACUAGCAGCUGAGCUCCACGGGAACAGAGCAGCAUGUGCGCGCGUGGCAGGACACGCAUACACACAUCGACACAGCACAGUAAGCACACGCACAGAGAAGAAGGUGCCGCGCCAUGAUAGCCUGUGUCGCCGGUGCUGCUCCUAGUCAAGGAGUAGGUUUGCUGGUUUGGUAACCAUCGAUCGGCAUCCAAUCCAUCAUGCUUCACAACGCGCGUUCAGGUACCUUUUAAUUUCUUCCUCCCCCACCCCCCACAUGGACAUCUCUCCUUUCCAGGUCUCAUGGCACCAUGCUCCCUCCGCCAUGGCUAGGCAGGAGCAGGAGCUGCCGGGACGCAAAAAUAUCACACGGGCGGACUCAUGCUUUGCUCCGGUCCACGCAGGCUCCAGAGGCUUCGGCAGUGGCGUGCAUCAUGUUGCUGCACCACCGACCUGCUGCGUGCAUCAUGUGU
RNAcentral lists this long non-coding RNA (507 nucleotides) under Setaria viridis. RNAcentral describes it as "long non-coding RNA (SVIR_LNC008521)". The record is from RNAcentral. Lineage: Eukaryota; Viridiplantae; Streptophyta; Magnoliopsida; Poales; Poaceae.